RNAcentral lists this ribosomal RNA (766 nucleotides) under Bacillus sp. (in: firmicutes). RNAcentral's name for it is "bacterial SSU rRNA". It matches the Rfam family "Bacterial small subunit ribosomal RNA", at positions 46 to 779 of the family's 1533-position model. Lineage: Bacteria; Bacillati; Bacillota; Bacilli; Caryophanales; Bacillaceae. The record is from RNAcentral.
GCCUUAUACCAUGCAAGUCGAGCGAUCUGAUGGGAGCUUGCUCCCUUGAUAAGUUAGCGGCGGACGGGUGAAGUUACACGUGGGUUACCCUGCCUUGNAAAGACUGGAAAUAAUUCCGGGAAACCCGGGGGUUAAUACCGGAAUAAACUUUUUUCCUUCGCAUGAAGGGAAAUUGAAAGGUGGGCACUAGCUACCACUUACAGAUGGACCCGCGGCGCAUUAGCUAGUUGGUGAGGUAACGGCUCACCAAGGCGACGAUGCGUAGCCGACUUGAGAGGGUGAUCGGCCACACUGGGACUGAGACACGGCCCAGACUCCUACGGGAGGCAGCAGUAGGGAAUCUUCCGCAAUGGACGAAAGUCUGACGGAGCAACGCCGCGUGAGUGAUGAAGGUUUUCGGAUCGUAAAACUCUGUUGUUAGGGAAGAACAAGUAUCGUUCGAAUAGGGCGGUACCUUGACGGUACCUAACCAGAAAGCCACGGCUAACUACGUGCCAGCAGCCGCGGUAAUACGUAGGUGGCAAGCGUUGUCCGGAAUUAUUGGGCGUAAAGCGCGCGCAGGCGGUUUCUUAAGUCUGAUGUGAAAGCCCACGGCUCAACCGUGGAGGGUCAUUGGAAACUGGGAGACUUGAGUGCAGAAGAGAAGAGCGGAAUUCCACGUGUAGCGGUGAAAUGCGUAGAGAUGUGGAGAAACACCAGUGGCGAAGGCGGCUCUUUGGUCUGUAACUGACGCUGAGGCGCGAAAGCGUGGGGAGCGAACAGGAUU